Molecule: long non-coding RNA, 2328 nt
Organism: Xenia sp. Carnegie-2017
Lineage: Eukaryota; Metazoa; Cnidaria; Anthozoa; Malacalcyonacea; Xeniidae
Exons: 7
Source: RefSeq, a predicted model, not a curated record
UUCAUGUAAUAAUUCUCAAAAGUAGUUUUGCAAUAUGGCCGCUACAAACAUUGACAAAAAGGUGAAGGAUCAUCACAAAAAAUCAUCUUUUUGUGAGUCAAGAGCAAAAUAUAGAGAAGCUCGUUGGAAAAGAGCUGUUAAAGUGUAUACAGUCAACUUAGAAUCAAAGUUCUUACUUGUUCAUGGAGUUCCAGCAUUAAACUUGACAAAGGACCUUUUGGAAAUGUUUGCUCUGUAUGGUGUUAUUGAUGAAUACAGAAUUUUGGAUGAUUGUCCAUCUGAGGAUUUUACUAAAGAUUAUUGGAUCAAAUACAAACAUAUCAUGGCCGCCAGACAGGCGAAAAGAAAAAAUAAUCGAUUUUUGGUGGAAUUCUUCAUGUGUGUUAUGACCAGAAUUUGAGUGUUGAAGAGACUGAGAUGAUGGAUCGAUAUUAUAGAGAAAGAUUACCAUUGCAGAUUCUCGAGGACAUUCAAAGACUAUGCGGGUGAUCAACAAUGAACAAUUGUCACAGGAGCACGUUGAUCCGAUUCCAGACACCCUUUCUAAAGUCACUAGCAGUUCAAAUUCUGAGGCCCUUACAUCGUCUUUGUCAUGUCAAUCAUUGAUAUGUAAAAUGCUAAAUCAACACAAAAACCUAUCAGGAAACAAGUGAAUCACCAUAUGUUCCUAAUCCUCAAAAUUUACCCCCGCUUUCUGUUUGCACAUAUCCCUCUCAGGUUCCUACAAUGUCUGUAUCGCUAAACACGGAAGCAGUCAAAUCAUUCUUAAACAGUACAACGUCUUAUGGUUUGUAUGCAUGUUUUCCUGAAAAACCAAGGCAUCAGGUAGAUGAAAAAUCCUCUGAAACGAACGAUGUUCAAGAGUCUUUGGUAAGUGUGGUGAUUUUUUCUUGUCACAUUUUAGGAGAUGUUUUUUUAAUCAACAUUGAUCUCUCUCUGUGAAUUAAGAGCAUCGAAAAUUGUCUAACUUGAGGUAUUUUCGGUUAAAUUAGCAAAACAAUAAAUUACAUAGCACUUGAAGUACUUAAUUCAUUCGAUUUUUAGUAUUUUUGCAAAAUGUUCAUUAUUACAUUUUGUGAUACUUACGUACGUUUUUUUUAGACUGGUAACGCUUCAAUGGAUCACACAGUUGAAUCAAUUCGAGGAAAGCUCAAUGCUGGUUUUGCAUAGCCGUGUAAGUUUAACGAUAUGAUACUUCGCUUUGGUCGCUCUGUUUCAGAGAUACAGAAAAGAUCUACCAGCGAAACUGGAUUAUCAAGCCAUAAAAAGAAAAAAAGGAAACGAAUUUAGUGUUAAGUCGUGAAGCACCGGAGCAUUGAAUCAAAUUUAAGGCAAGUUAAACUUACAACUUUAUUUCAACAGAUGUGUACCAAUGAUGUACAAACACAGCACAAGUGCUUACAGCCCAGACGAACUAAACAUAUUAAUAUCCCAUAGUCCCCUUUUGUUUUGUACGCAAUAUCUUUAUGGCAAAGUCGGAAAGUCCAAACAAAGAAUAAGAAAAAAUUACAUAAAUUCUAUGCUGGUCAUUCAAAAAUAUUCAGUUUGUAAAAUAUAUCUUCUCAAGCGGUGUCUGCAAGAGUUGUUGCGUAGUUAUAGGUGUGAGUUUAUCCAAAAUAUUCAUAUUACAUUUGUUUCCAGAGUACUCGACCGUGUUUGUUCUUCGUUUUUCAUCAAGGACCCACUAACAUUUGGCAAGUCUGUCUCAUCUUUAUUGGUCUUUUUCCCAGGAGAACAUAUAGAAAAAACUUUGCACCAUUUUUUCCAGACAUGGCGAGUGUCUUUGUUAAAGAAUAACAAGAAAAAGUUGAUAAGACAAUAAAAUCCAGGGGCACAUAUCUGUACGCUGGACAGGAUGAAUAUCUGACUUUCAGGCAUUUUACAUCGUUUGCCAUGUUUCUAAAAACAAAACAGAAUAAAGCUCAGUAUAAUCGUGAACAAACAACAUGAUCACAUCGCCUUCCUGUUGUCACCUUGAGGCAUGCGAAGUAUUCAGAAAAAUUGUGUAGAUAGUCUUCAUUUCUGUUCAAUAGCACAACUUGAGAACAUAAAACAACAAUGAUUGUAACAAUGAACAAGAGAGCAAGUUUCGUGAACUGACAUUCUGCAUUAAUGAAUCCUUUGAUAUCUUCACCAGAUCGGAUUGCUUGCGUUGAUGCGUUAUUCUUUCGUACCUGAGUGAAAAAGAUUUAGCGCAAAUGUAGAGCAGUUCACCCGUGAAAAGUUGUGAAAUUAACUAGUACGUACAACUACAAAUAGUACAAUACGCGUUCCUGCAAUAGGAAUUUUUACCAAAUUAAACUUUUUACCGCCACAAGGCAUGAAAAA